UACGAAGGGGGCAAGCGUUGUUCGGAAUUACUGGGCGUAAAGGGCGCGUAGGCGGCCUGUUAAGUCGAACGUGAAAUCCCCGGGCUCAACCCCGGGAGGCGGGCGGAUACUGUCGGGCUAGAGUCCGGAAGAGGCGAGUGGAAUUCCUGGUGUAGCGGUGAAAUGCGCAGAUAUCAGGAGGAACACCGAUGGCGAAGGCAGCUCGCUGGGACGGUACUGACGCUGAGGCGCGAAAGCCAGGGGAGCGAACGGG
Molecule: ribosomal RNA, 253 nt
Filed under: uncultured bacterium
Lineage: Bacteria
Description: partial 16S ribosomal RNA
Rfam family: Bacterial small subunit ribosomal RNA
Source: RNAcentral